RNAcentral lists this long non-coding RNA (464 nucleotides) under Sorghum bicolor (sorghum). Its description in RNAcentral is "long non-coding RNA (SBIC_LNC002987)". Lineage: Eukaryota; Viridiplantae; Streptophyta; Magnoliopsida; Poales; Poaceae. The record is from RNAcentral.
GAGGCUCUUCCUGCUGGGAUUCUUCCAUCUGUGGUGCAUCCUGCAUUGGUUGGGGAGAUGGCACUUGCUGUGUCUGGACUUCUGGAGAAGAAGGAGAAGACUCUACUGGGAUUGGAGAUACCGGAGGAGGAGGGGGAGCUGCCACUUUUUGGCGUUUCGUUUCGGCCCUGGUGCUCUUGACACCCUUCCUCUUUGGCUGGCUGGACUGGGUGGCAUCGGCACCUUGAAGUGUGACCUUUGCCGAUGCACUGGUUUGCUGCAAUAACGAACAAGGGUUUGUAAGUAUAAAUAAAGCCGAUAUAAAGAUAGUCAGCGUAAAAGAUAAAGAUUUGACAAAUUGCCUUGAAAGCCCGCGCCAGAGUAGGAGCAGCUACCGUUGGUGAUGUCUGGGUUCUCCUGGUAGUAACUUUCCUGAGGCGCGCACCCCGAUGCACGAUGGAAGCCAGAGUGGGAGCAUUGUGGCC